Molecule: long non-coding RNA, 4108 nt
Filed under: Lactuca sativa (garden lettuce)
Lineage: Eukaryota; Viridiplantae; Streptophyta; Magnoliopsida; Asterales; Asteraceae
Description: long non-coding RNA (LSAT_LNC001758)
Source: RNAcentral
AAAAAAAAUACAAUCUUUUACGAUAAAUGGAAAAAAAAUAUAAAAUAAUAAUUGAGUUUAAAUUGCUCAAUCACAAUUGUAUAGCAUUUGAAUAUGUUUUUUAGUAAUUUUAAAAAAAAUGAUAAGCAAUUUAAUAAUUUUGAUACAUUAAAUGAUUAAUCUAUCAUUUAACUCGUUUUUUUAAAGCACCGGAUCAAUUAGGGAACACCAAAAUCACCAAGCACCAUAACAUUGAGGUCACAACACAUUAAAACUUGCAACAUCUUUAUUGUGACUUAAAGUUAAAUAUCCCAAUAAUAGCAAUGUACUUCCAUGGUUGUGAUAAUAUCAAUUUGAUUCCCCAUCGACACCCAACAGAAACAUGAAUUGCUAAUGGUAAAUAGAACCAUGUAGAAACUAUGUCUUCACGAAAGCUCCAUACUAACCUUGGGGUAAAAUUGUCCAAAACUUUCAUCGGGUGAUUAGCACCUUUAUUGAUACUUCCAACGCCUUCAAAUUAAACAUGAUCUUUAACAUUCACCAAAUUACCAUCCAAUGAUAUUGACAAUCUUUCAGACCAACCAUUUUGUAAACAGGGGUAUAAUCGUCCAUAUUUUGCCUAAGCGGAAAUCAACCAAAUUAGAGCAUCCGACAGCAACAAAUCGUGAUUAAACUUCGCCUUCACCGUGUAUCCUCUCUGUUGUAUAAUAAUUCUCUCCAUAUUGCAUUGAUAUUUCUGCUUAUCAUAAUAAGUGCUUCAUUGAGCAUAAACACUGGCAAGCUUAGUGAGAUAAAUUGACAACUUACAGUUACAUAAUGGAGAACAAAAGUGUAAGUUGCUUACCGUGUUCAGAAGUAAGGAUGUAAUAAACAUAAACGGCUUAACAAAAUACACAUAUUAAACAGAUUGUAUGGUUGGUACAGUUGAAAAUAAACAAAUUGAAUCAACAAACUAUAACAAAAUAUUAACAUAAUGACUUUUUAAACAAACCACCAUGCCUAGUUUUUCCUUGAAAAUUAAACUUUACCAAAAAGAUACUAACUUUGAUCAAUUUUCUGAAAUCAUGGAGUUAUAACCAUAAUAAGUACAUAAGCAAAGUCUUAAAUUUCAGUUACCAUAGUUGAUGUAGUGUCAGCAGUUCAAACUUCAUUUGGUUCGGCUCAGGAAUAUGAAAGCAACACUGACCAUGGAUACAUCUUGUUUUAUGAGAGCCUUGUUGGAAAUAAUAACAUCACCUGUUGAAUCAAAUUCAAUCGUAUGUUAUGCUAUUUUUUCCUUUUCUUUUUUUCUUUUGUGUUUCGUUUUUUGUUUUGUGAUAUGGUAAUGGUAUAGAACAUUUUGGGUUAGGCUCAGGAGUAUGCAAGCAACACUCAAUGGACCUGUUUUGUUUACAUGGCGUCUAUUGGUGGUACCCAGUCCACCACCCAUUUAUAAUUUAAAGCCAAGUUCAAUGCAUGGUGGAUUCACAGUAUUCACAGUCUACUACCUUAUCAAUUUGGCUGCAUCUACCUCUCUACUAUUAUCAAGUAUCUCUGUAUUUUUUUUCACUUAACUCAUCAAAGCAAAAGUAUGGCUUCUAUAUCAACUCACAAACAGGGUAUACAUCUAAUUACCAUUAUAUAAAAUCUUAAUAAUCUUCAUUCACAUCCAAAGUGCAAACAUUACCUUUUGUAAAAAAAUAUAGGGAAAAUUAUUGGAUGUGAUGAAAAAAUGUCAAUUUAGACAGAAUCAACAAAAUUCAACUACAAAUUGGAGUGAAGAGCUUACUUUUUUGAGGGAAGAAGGAUUUUGGGUUCGAUAAAAAAUGAAGAACAGAUGCCGAUGUCUCCAAAAAUAUUUAAGUGAUACUAGGUAUAAAAUAACCUAAUGUUUCAUUCAAAUCACCUUAUGGCAGUUAGGGUCAAUGGUCAUCCGUUGAGUCACCAGUCGUUCGAUUGUCACCUAUGUUGAGAAGAGCGAUAUCUGCUUGAUGCGGCAGUGAGAGAGGUGGUGGAAGACCCUGGUCGAUUGAUGUUCGUCUCUCUCCCAAUCGGUCUGUCAUCCACUUCAAAUUUUGCCAUCGUUUCCUCCUCUUGUUCCGCCAUCGAAGCUUACCAAAAAGAUCAAAGAAAAGGAGUCGGAUGGAAAUUAGAGGUUACAAAGCAAGAAUGUUGAAAUAUUAAAGGGACGACUGAUUUUACAACUGAAGGGAGAGAAUUAGGGAUUUUGAAACCCAAAUCACAGCUUAAUACCGAGAUUUGAGGAUGACUGAAGAUUUAGAAGAUAAAUUCUUGAUUUUCAGAUUGAAAUAUGAAAAUUGAAGAGGAAAGUAUUUGACUGGUAUAUAAGGGGUGAGAGGGAUAAUUUGGGAAUUUCACCAGGAAUAUAAGUUAGAAGAGGGCUUAGAGAAUGCCACGUGGCAGAAAAAUACUUAUUUAUUAGGACAGGGGAUGAUUAUUAGUUUAUGUAUUUUGAUUGAUUAUGCAACAUUUUUCCAACCCAAAUCAAUUAAAAUGUACAUAAAUUAAUUUUAAAAAAAUGCAAUGCAAGACAGCGAUCUAAAUCGGUCACCCAAUCAAAGAGUUUGUUCACAUGUUUUCGUUGUAUACUUGUAUUGGUCUCUUUAUCUUAUGUUAUUGAACUUAUAAAUUAUGUUUAAUAUUUAUUAAUAAAAAAAUAAAAAUAAAUAUUUUUUUCUCCACAAAUAAAGAUUAAUAUUAAUAUAUUUUUACUUUUUAGAUUUAAAAAAUAAUAAAAAUUUAUUUUUUUUGCAAUGAAAAUAUAUUUAAUAAUCCCGCAAAAAAAUUUAUAAGUAAUUGAAUUUGAUCUUAAGGCUCGUUUGAUAUUUGCUAACUGGAUUAGAGCUGACCGGGUUAGAAGCUGACUGGGUUAGAAGUUCUGACUGAGUUAACUUCUGACUGAAACUUGCUGCUUGAUUUUGCAUCUGACUUACUAUAUAAAAUGACUUUAUUACCCUCAAAGUAGAUAAUUUAAUAACACAUCAUUAGUUGCAAGAAUAAAUUCCAAAGAAUGAUGUUCUAAAAAUAGAUUAUUAAAUAACCAAAAACAAAUUACUUUUAUUUUCUUGUCAAACAAAACAUGAGGUGUAUGAUUGACAAUUGGAUACUAGAUUCAUAAGAUAUUAACAUCUCUCAANUUAUGUUGAUUUUUCUUGUCAAACAAAACAUGAGGUGUAUGAUUGACAAUUGGAUACUAGAUUCAUAAGAUAUUAACAUCUCUCAAAGGCCAAAUUUAAUCCUAAUGAGUUGAGAAAUGCAAAACUCUGAUAUAAAUCUAGACAUAACCUUUAUUCAAACAUUUGAUCUACAUUUGACAAAUUAAUCAAAUAACACAUAUCCGAUGACCAAAGCUAAUCCAAUUACACAUAACCUUUAUUCACACAUUACCAGAAACUAAUCCAAUAACACAUAAAAAACUCUACCACCAAUCCCUAAAUACAAGUGUGUUGAACCCAAUUGCAGCUGUUUUGUUGAACUUCACUCCUAUAACAUGAAGCCCCAUUGGAGAAAUCAAGAAAAUUAACAAAACACCACCACCGAUCAUUAAACACAAAUCGUUAGAGAUAACACCCAUAUAACUACAAUAGUUCNGAUGUCUCCAAAAAUAUUUAAGUGAUACUAGGUAUAAAAUAACCUAAUGUUUCAUUCAAAUCACCUUAUGGCAGUUAGGGUCAAUGGUCAUCCGUUGAGUCACCAGUCGUUCGAUUGUCACCUAUGUUGAGAAGAGCGAUAUCUGCUUGAUGCGGCAGUGAGAGAGGUGGUGGAAGACCCUGGUCGAUUGAUGUUCGUCUCUCUCCCAAUCGGUCUGUCAUCCACUUCAAAUUUUGCCAUCGUUUCCUCCUCUUGUUCCGCCAUCGAAGCUUACCAAAAAGAUCAAAGAAAAGGAGUCGGAUGGAAAUUAGAGGUUACAAAGCAAGAAUGUUGAAAUAUUAAAGGGACGACUGAUUUUACAACUGAAGGGAGAGAAUUAGGGAUUUUGAAACCCAAAUCACAGCUUAAUACCGAGAUUUGAGGAUGACUGAAGAUUUAGAAGAUAAAUUCUUGAUUUUCAGAUUGAAAUAUGAAAAUUGAAGAGGAAAGUAUUUGACUGGUAUAUAAGGGGUGAGAGGGAUAAUUUGGGAAUUUCACC